This 451-nucleotide ribosomal RNA is filed under the name uncultured bacterium. RNAcentral's name for it is "partial 16S ribosomal RNA". It matches the Rfam family "Bacterial small subunit ribosomal RNA", at positions 354 to 796 of the family's 1533-position model. The record is from RNAcentral.
GUGGGGAAUAUUGGACAAUGGGGGGAACCCUGAUCCAGCCAUGCCGCGUGUGUGAAGAAGGCCUUUUGGUUGUAAAGCACUUUAAGCGAGGAGGAGGCUACCGAGAUUAAUACUCUUGGAUAGUGGACGUUACUCGCAGAAUAAGCACCGGCUAACUCUGUGCCAGCAGCCGCGGUAAUACAGAGGGUGCGAGCGUUAAUCGGAUUUACUGGGCGUAAAGCGUGCGUAGGCGGCGUUUUAAGUCGGAUGUGAAAUCCCCGAGCUUAACUUGGGAAUUGCAUUCGAUACUGGGAAGCUAGAGUAUGGGAGAGGAUGGUAGAAUUCCAGGUGUAGCGGUGAAAUGCGUAGAGAUCUGGAGGAAUACCGAUGGCGAAGGCAGCCAUCUGGCCUAAUACUGACGCUGAGGUACGAAAGCAUGGGGAGCAAACAGGAUUAGAUACCCUUGUAGUCC